This 434-nucleotide ribosomal RNA is filed under the name uncultured bacterium. Its description in RNAcentral is "partial 16S ribosomal RNA". It matches the Rfam family "Bacterial small subunit ribosomal RNA", at positions 29 to 507 of the family's 1533-position model. The record is from RNAcentral.
AACGAACGCUGGCGGCAUGCCUAACACAUGCAAGUCGAACGAUUGCCUUCGGGUGAUAGUGGCGCACGGGUGCGUAACGCGUGGGAAUCUGCCCUUAGGUUCGGAAUAACAGCUGGAACGGCUGCUAAUACCGGAUGAUAUCGCGAGAUCAAAGAUUUAUCGCCUGAGGAUGAGCCCGCGUUGGAUUAGGUAGUUGGUGGGGUAAAGGCCUACCAAGCCGACGAUCCAUAGCUGGUCUGAGAGGAUGAUCAGCCACACUGGGACUGAGACACGGCCCAGACUCCUACGGGAGGCAGCAGUGGGGAAUAUUGGACAAUGGGCGCAAGCCUGAUCCAGCAAUGCCGUGUGAGUGAUGAAGGCCCUAGGGUUGUAAAGCUCUUUUACCCGGGAAGAUAAUGACUGUACCGGGAGAAUAAGCCCCGGCUAACUCCGUG